UACGGGGGGGGCAAGCGUUGUUCGGAAUUACUGGGCGUAAAGGGCUCGUAGGCGGCCAACUAAGUCAGACGUGAAAUCCCUCGGCUUAACCGGGGAACUGCGUCUGAUACUGGAUGGCUUGAGGUUGGGAGAGGGAUGCGGAAUUCCAGGUGUAGCGGUGAAAUGCGUAGAUAUCUGGAGGAACACCGGUGGCGAAGGCGCUGCUCUGGGCCGGUACUGACGCUGAGGAGCGAAAGCGUGGGUAGCAAACAGG
Molecule: ribosomal RNA, 253 nt
Filed under: uncultured bacterium
Lineage: Bacteria
Description: partial 16S ribosomal RNA
Rfam family: Bacterial small subunit ribosomal RNA
Source: RNAcentral